Sarcophilus harrisii (Tasmanian devil) is the source of this 47-nucleotide non-coding RNA. The record is from Rfam. NCBI's taxonomy places the organism in Eukaryota, Metazoa, Chordata, Mammalia, Dasyuromorphia, Dasyuridae.
ACAAAGGCCCUGUUAAGGGCCACAGAAGGCCCACUAAAGGACAAAAU